CUUCUGUACGUUGGAUGGACACUCACGCGUAGCGAGCAAGAUGCAGUACAAGGCUCUGAAAAGUGAACGUCCAGUGAAGUGACUUGGAUAUCCCCGUCAUAGGUGACGGUAUCUCAGCUGCAGCCAAUCGCCUGAGAAGAAACCACUCAACACAUCGCUAAAACGAG
Long non-coding RNA from Schistocerca cancellata (South American locust), 167 nucleotides. RefSeq lists it as uncharacterized. Lineage: Eukaryota; Metazoa; Arthropoda; Insecta; Orthoptera; Acrididae. The transcript has 5 exons. The record is from RefSeq and is a predicted model, not a curated record.